Molecule: long non-coding RNA, 1027 nt
Organism: Dermacentor andersoni
Lineage: Eukaryota; Metazoa; Arthropoda; Arachnida; Ixodida; Ixodidae
Source: RefSeq, a predicted model, not a curated record
GGCAUGUCAGUAGCUUUAUUCCUCGAUUCGCGGCCACAAGCAGCAUUUACUGAGUUGUGCGUUUUCCUGUCAUAGGUUGACUCGUGCUUGCAGCCGUGUGCUGCCUGGCCGCCCAUCAUCAGAAACUGAAGCUCUGCAUCACCUGAGCCUUAUCUUGGUUCCGCAGCGAACUUCACUGAGUCUGCGUCGCCGGUAUCGGAAGCAGCGCCACCUGGACCUAUAAAAGGACCAGCACUGCAGCAACUCGUUGGGAUUCGCGGCCACAAGCAGCAUUUACUGAGUUGUGCGUUUUUCCUGUCAUAGGUUGACUCGUGCUUGCCGCCGUGUGCUGCCUGGCCGCCCAUCAUCAGAAACUGAAGCUCUGCAUCACCUGAGCCUUAUCUUGGUUCCGCAGCGAACUUCACUGAGUCUGCGUCGCCGGUAUCGGAAGCAGCGCCACCUGGACCUAUAAAAGGACCAGCACUGCAGCAACUCGUUGGGAUUCGCGGCCACAAGCAGCAUUUACUGAGUUGUGCGUUUUCCUGUCAUAGAUAUACUAUAGCGAGAAGGCACACCGUGGACAAGACACUGAACGGAGCGCUUGAGUGGCGUGCUUUGGCGGCCUUUCUGGCCCUGCGGACAAAAUCUCGUGCGUCACGCCAGCUCCCCUCGUCAGACAGAGUGCCGCCUGCUUGCCUUAUUCAACGGCGAGAGCCGAUGCUGCAUUGCGCGCCGACCCGAUGCGUGCUCAAUCUCUCAGGCGAUCCUCGAUGCUACUCGCUGCUUCACCUCGAUGCUCCGCUUUCUCGCGACGCCUUUAGUCACUUUCCGUAGGAGAGGGACGACGGAAAGUGGUGACUUCAGUGGUGCUACGGGAAAGCAUACGGUAAAGCGAAUCGAACUCGUCCCUGGGGUAGUUCCUUGGACGAGGGUUCCAGCUCGUAGAUCUAUGGUUGCUAGCGCAACCUUGUUAUCCUUAGAGUGGAUUUAUAUGUGUGCGCUCCUUCCCACCGUGGUAACCUGACGAAAAUAAGAAGGGGCACCGCUU